This 497-nucleotide ribosomal RNA is filed under the name uncultured bacterium. Its description in RNAcentral is "partial 16S ribosomal RNA". It matches the Rfam family "Bacterial small subunit ribosomal RNA", at positions 28 to 507 of the family's 1533-position model. The record is from RNAcentral.
GAUGAACGCUGGCGGCGUGCCUAAUACAUGCAAGUCGAGCGAACAGACGAGGAGCUUGCUCCUCUGACGUUAGCGGCGGUCGGGUGAGUAACACGUGGAUAACCUACCUAUAAGACUGGGAUAACUUCGGGAAACCGGAGCUAAUACCGGAUAAUAUAUUGAACCGCAUGGUUCAAUAGUGAAAGACGGUUUUGCUGUCACUUAUAGAUGGAUCCGCGCCGCAUUAGCUAGUUGGUAAGGUAACGGCUUACCAAGGCGACGAUGCGUAGCCGACCUGAGAGGGUGAUCGGCCACACUGGAACUGAGACACGGUCCAGACUCCUACGGGAGGCAGCAGUAGGGAAUCUUCCGCAAUGGGCGAAAGCCUGACGGAGCAACGCCGCGUGAGUGAUGAAGGUCUUCGGAUCGUAAAACUCUGUUAUUAGGGAAGAACAAAUGUGUAAGUAACUAUGCACGUCUUGACGGUACCUAAUCAGAAAGCCACGGCUAACUACGUG